RNAcentral lists this ribosomal RNA (241 nucleotides) under uncultured bacterium. Its description in RNAcentral is "partial 16S ribosomal RNA". It matches the Rfam family "Bacterial small subunit ribosomal RNA", at positions 117 to 353 of the family's 1533-position model. The record is from RNAcentral.
GUGGGUAACCUGCCUUAUAGUGGGGGAUAGCCUUUCGAAAGGAAGAUUAAUACCGCAUAAGAUUGUAGUAUCGCAUGAUAUAGCAAUUAAAGGAGCAAUUCGCUAUAAGAUGGACCCGCGUCGCAUUAGCUAGUUGGUGAGGUAAUGGCUCACCAAGGCGACGAUGCGUAGCCGACCUGAGAGGGUGAUCGGCCACAUUGGGACUGAGACACGGCCCAGACUCCUACGGGAGGCAGCAUGC